GACGUUACCUACAGAAGAAGCACCGGCUAACUCCGUGCCAGCAGCCGCGGUAAUACGGAGGGUGCGAGCGUUAAUCGGAAUUACUGGGCGUAAAGCGCAUGCAGGCGGCCUGUUAAGUCAGAUGUGAAAGACCCGGGGCGUUAACCUACGGAAGUUGCAUUUAGUAAACUGGCAGGCUAGAGUCUUGUAGAGGGGGGUAGGAAUUUCAGGUGUAGCGGUGAAAUGCGUAGAGAUCUGAAGGAAUACCAGUGGCGAAGGCGGCCCCCUGGACAAAGACUGACGCUCAGAUGCGAAAGCGUGGGGAGCAAACAGGAUUAGAUACCCUGGUAG
This 330-nucleotide ribosomal RNA is filed under the name uncultured bacterium. Its description in RNAcentral is "bacterial SSU rRNA". It matches the Rfam family "Bacterial small subunit ribosomal RNA", at positions 471 to 793 of the family's 1533-position model. The record is from RNAcentral.